This 786-nucleotide ribosomal RNA is filed under the name uncultured Basidiomycota. RNAcentral describes it as "eukaryotic LSU rRNA". The stretch from base 211 to 364 matches the Rfam family "5.8S ribosomal RNA". Lineage: Eukaryota; Fungi; Basidiomycota. The record is from RNAcentral.
CGGAUUGCACGCCCGUCAUUCAUAUCAUCUUUCCACCUGUGAGCUAUGUGUAGAUCUGGAUAUCCCUCGCUUUGUAACGAAGCGGAUGCAAGGAUUGCUGUGUCGACAAGGCCGGCUCUCUUUGAAUUUCCAGGUCUAUGUCUUUUUACGCACCCAUUCGAAUGAUGUAGAAUGUAGUCAAUGGGCUUUCAAGCCUAUAAAACACUAUACAACUUUCAGCAACGGAUCUCUUGGCUCUCGCAUCGAUGAAGAACGCAGCGAAAUGCGAUAAGUAAUGUGAAUUGCAGGAUUCAGUGAAUCAUCGAAUCUUUGAACGCACCUUGCGCUCCUUGGUAUUCCGAGGAGCAUGCCUGUUUGAGUGUCGUGAAUACUCUCAAUCUUAAGUCUUUUUUUACGAGAAGGCCUUAGGGUUGGAUUUGGAUGUUGCUGCGAUUUUAUUGCGGCUCGUCUCGAAAUGCAUUAGCUGGUCCACCUCGGUCUUAACAAACGGUGUGAUAAGAAACAUUCAUUUGUGACUGUAGCGCUGCUGUUAUAGACUGGUGAAAGGACUGCUUCUAAUCGUCUUCGGACAAUUUUCAUGUCAUCUGACCUCAAAUCAGGUAGGACUACCCGCUGAACUUAAGCAUAUCAAUAAGCGGAGGAAAAGAAACUAACAAGGAUUCCCCUAGUAACGGCGAGUGAAGCGGGAAGAGCUCAAAUUUAAAAUCUGGCGGCCUAAGGUCGUCCGAGUUGUAGUCUAGAGAAGUGUUUUCCGUGCUGGACCGUGUACAAGUCCCUUGGAAGGGC